GGUCUCGUAGCUCAGUUGGUUAGAGUGCCGGCCUGUCACGCCGGAGGUCGCGGGUUCGAGUCCCGUCGGGACCGCUA
RNAcentral lists this transfer RNA (77 nucleotides) under Acidimicrobiaceae bacterium. Its description in RNAcentral is "tRNA-Asp". It matches the Rfam family "tRNA". From Rfam's summary of the family: Transfer RNA (tRNA) molecules are approximately 80 nucleotides in length. Their secondary structure includes four short double-helical elements and three loops (D, anti-codon, and T loops). Further hydrogen bonds mediate the characteristic L-shaped molecular structure. tRNAs have two regions of fundamental functional importance: the anti-codon, which is responsible for specific mRNA codon recognition, and the 3' end, to which the tRNAs corresponding amino acid is attached (by aminoacyl-tRNA synthetases). tRNAs cope with the degeneracy of the genetic code in two manners: having more than one tRNA (with a specific anti-codon) for a particular amino acid; and 'wobble' base-pairing, i.e. permitting non-standard base-pairing at the 3rd anti-codon position. The record is from RNAcentral. Lineage: Bacteria; Bacillati; Actinomycetota; Acidimicrobiia; Acidimicrobiales; Acidimicrobiaceae.